AGCUGAGAUCAAAGGUGAUAUUUUUACAGCAACUGAAAUAGAAAACCACUGGGUGCACAGUGGGAGGUGAGCGGCCGGAACACAGGCCCUUUUAUGCAGCCUGCGGCCACCGCGAGCGCACUGCCCCCUGCACAGGACCGAGGGGCAUGGGGGACAGUAUGGCCCCAUCUUCCCAACUCAGAUCUCUUCGAAAUAGCCACCCGGCUGGGGUUUCCGGGGUGAAACACUGACACCUGCUGCUUCCAAGCUGGGAGUUAAGUACCCUGCGAGGGGAAGGGGAGCUGUCCUGUCUGCGCCACCACCACCACCACGGCCUGGGGCCCUUCAUCAGUGAGAGCAUCUGAGCAUCCGCCUUCUGCGAGGCGGUUUGGCCCAGACAUCUGAAGCUCGUUAGCGGCCUGCUCCCAGGGGGCUGACUCCGCCUGGAGAGAAAUAUCCCAGCAGAGCCACAGGGGAUGGAGCAAACAAAGACCAGCCACUGUUCUAAACACCAUACGCAGAUUAAAAUGACUUAACCCGAAGUUCCCACUGUGGCUCAGUGGUUAAGAAUCCUACAAGCAUCCAUGAGGAUGUGGGUUCGAUCCCCAGCCUCACUCAGUGGGUUAAGGAUCCGUAGCCUGGGAACUUCCGUGUGCCUUGGGUGUGGCCCUUAAGAGACAAAAAAAGCCUGGAGUCUGGCUCUCAUCUGGACACCCUGACCUUGACCUUUCUGAAGCUUGGACGGCUGGCUCUGACCACAUCACUCAAGAUCGCUGCCUCCUCCCAAGAUGGUUAUAACGGACACCAGGCCAUCUCCCAGUCUAUGACAGGGGCACCUUGGUCCCCUCCCAGUCUCCUUCCCUCCUGGGAGUCAGGUUUGGGGGGAGGCCUUGCCUGGUGGCCUGGAACCCGAGCAAAGGGCGAGGAGGGCUGGUGCAGAGAACUAUUACACAGACCUCGGCGAAGCCGAACCGUGUGCCCCUCAAGCAGAGUGGCCCCUGCGGGGCUGGGAUGGGCACGGCCCCCAGACAGUUCCUACCUGCUGGGCUGUGCUAGGCGGGCACUCAGCCAAAGUGGGCUUCGCUGCACCUCGCUUUUCACUGGACGCCUGCUCCUAGGUUGCUGCAUCCUUCCUUUGGCGGGUGAACACCUCUGAUGACCAAGACUGAUGCAUUUACUUCUCAUGGGGCAACCUUAUUACCGGCAUUGCCAAGACAGGCCCAGAGAUGGAGCCCUGCCGCCCAGGUUCACCGAGCCCGGCCAGGCCUGAGACCACUGGGAUCCCAGACGGAUCCUGAUUAUCUGGGCACCACCUUCAAAUACGGAAAAUGAAUUCUACAACGGCAGAAACGUUAGCAAAUACAAACAAGCAUGGUCACUUAUGAUGGAGCAUGCGAAUGUGAGAAAAAAGACAUACGCAUGUUUGUGUGCCUGGGUCACCUUGCUGUACGGUAGAAAAGUGACCGAACAUAGUAAACCAGCUACGAUGAAAAAAGUAAAAAUCAUUUAUAAAAAUUAAACUAAAAAAAAUAAAAUUGGAGUUCCUGUCGUGGCGUAGUGGAAACGAAUCCAACUAGGAACCAUGAGGUUGCAGGUUCAAUCUCUGGCCUCGCUCAGUGGGUAAAGGAUCCUGCGGUGCCGUGAGCUGGGGUGUAGGUUGCAGAUGAGGCUCGGAUCCCGAGUUGCUGUGGCUGUGGCGUCAGCUGGUGGCUACAGCUCCGAUUAGACUCCUAGCCUGGGAACCUCCAUAUGUCACAGGUGCGGCCCUAAAAAGCAAAAAUAAAUAAAUAAAAUCAAUGUUUCAUAGAAUAAAAAAAAAGAGAAAGAAAAUACAAAUAAGCAAAAGGGAAAAUUAACUUUUGGUUUAUUUCUUGGAGAAACUUCUAUGGCCUUCUUCAUCCCUUCUCUCCCCUGGGCCUCAGCCACCGCCCCAGCCCCAGCAUAAUCAAUACCUCACUGCCUUUUACCAGCGGCUGUUCCCUGAGGACUCAGCCUUGACAGCAGAUCCUGGAAGAGAGUCUGAGACCGGAUUCUGGAAAGGCCUGGCGUCUCUUCCGGAACAGCAGAGCUUCUGCCCCAGACUGUCUGAGUGCAGAGAGUCGGAAAUCCUUCCGGCCAGGAGUCCAGAGCCUGCAUCCAGCCCCGCCUGGCUAGCGGAUGGACCCUGUGACCUUGGGCCAGUCCCUGCCCUCUCGGUGUCUCCGCUGGAAACUGCAGACUUGGACUUGACCGAGUGGCUUCGGUCUGUCGGCUGCUCUUGGGCAAGGACCCUGCCCUCUCCGCUGAGGUGGACCGUGGCGUUUAGCAUCAGAGGGCAGCGUCUGAGCUCCCCUGGUGAUGGGCAGGGCUGUGUGGCUGUGUGGCCCUCCCUCUGUGCGUCUCAGGGCGGCUGUGGGUCCCACAAGGGGGCGGGCCUCGAAGACCUCUGGACGAUGCAGAGCGAGGAGCUGUACCAGACUCGAACCAGAGGGUGCCCCUGCCUGCCCGGAGCCUGGCUCCAUCCCGCCUCCGCCCUGGCUCAGGGAGUGUGGUCCAGGCUUGUAGAUGGAGCCGCUGGCUGCCCACGGGCUCCCAGAGUCCUGGCGGGAGGAAUGUGUGGACCCGGGGCCCAGGCCACCGCAUGAAGUGUCCUUAACGAUGCCCAGAGGGCCUCGGGCCUGUGACAUCACGCACCGCAGUUUCCCAAGUUGGAGCUCAGAGGGCUAAGGCCGUUUCAAAACACAGCACUGCCUUUUUUUUCUUUCUCUUUCCAUUUUGGCUAAGGCAUCCAAUGUGACAGCUGCUGCAUUAGGAAGAUGAAGAGGUGGGGUUCGUAGGCUGACUCAGCUUUAUGGGACCCUAAAAACAAUGGGAACCCUGGGGAGUCUGGCCCCUGCUUCCUCAUGCCCACCUGACCUUGGCUCCUCCGGCAGGACCAGGGUCAGGGGAAGACAAUUGUGACCUCUGCCCUCGGCCCGCUGUGUCUUAUGACUGGAUGUUUGUGUCCCCUUCACGUUCACACAUUGCAGGCCUGCCCCCGCCUGAGUGGGAGUGGGAUAAAGAAAUGAGGGUGGGGCCCCCACGACGGGAUGUGUCUUUAUAAGAAGAGUAAGAGCCCAGAGAUCUUUCUCUCUCUCUCUGGGAGUCCGCAGAGAGGUCAUGUGCCCACACGGUGACAUGGCAGCCACCUGCCAGCCAAGAAAAGGGCUCUCACCAAGAACUGAUCCGCCAGGAUCUUGAUUUUGGACUUGCCAGCUUCCAGAGCUCUGCGGGAUAAAUGUUAUUUGAGCCACCUAAUCUGCCGUGUUUUGUUAGAGCAGCCUGAGUGGACUAAGACAUCUCUACGAAACAGACAUAAUAACCCCGCCCCUGACAACUGCCAUUAAGAAAUAAAUGCAGGAGUUCCCGAUGUGGCGCAGUGGUUAACAAAUCUGACUAGGAACUAUGAGGUUGCAGGUUCGA
Molecule: non-coding RNA, 3420 nt
Organism: Sus scrofa (pig)
Lineage: Eukaryota; Metazoa; Chordata; Mammalia; Artiodactyla; Suidae
Source: RefSeq, a predicted model, not a curated record